This 429-nucleotide ribosomal RNA is filed under the name Chloroflexota bacterium. RNAcentral's name for it is "Chloroflexi bacterium partial 16S ribosomal RNA". It matches the Rfam family "Bacterial small subunit ribosomal RNA", at positions 355 to 776 of the family's 1533-position model. The record is from RNAcentral. Lineage: Bacteria; Bacillati; Chloroflexota.
UGGGGAAUAUUGCACAAGGGGCGCAAGCCUGAUGCAGCCAUGCCGCGUGUAGGAAGAAGGCAUUCGGGUGGGAAAGUACUUUCAGUCGGGAGGAAGGUGGUAAGGUGAAGAACCUUGGCAAGUGAAGGUACCGACAGAAGAAGCACAGGAUAACUCCGUGCCAGCAGCCGCGGUAAUACGGAGGGUGCAAGCGUUAAGCGGAAUUACUGGGCGUAAAGCGCACGCAGGCGGUUGAUUGAGUCAGAUGUGAAAUCCCCGGGCUUAACCCGGGAAUUGCAUCUGAUACUGGUCAGCUAGAGUCUUGUAGAGGGGGGUAGAAUUCCAUGUGUAGCGGUGAAAUGCGUAGAGAUGUGGAGGAAUACCGGUGGCGAAGGCGGCCCCCUGGACAAAGACUGACGCUCAGGUGCGAAAGCGUGGGGAGCAAACAGG